CAAUAGCGUAUAUUAAAGUUGUUGCGGUUAAAAAGCUCGUAGUUGGAUUUCUGCUGAGGACGACCGGUCCGCCCUCUGGGUGAGUAUCUGGCUCGGCCUUGGCAUCUUCUUGGAGAACGCUAUUGUACUUGACUGUAUGGUGCGGUAUCCAAGACUUUUACUUUGAGGAAAUUAGAGUGUUUCAAGCAGGCGCACGCCUUGAAUACAUUAGCAUGGAAUAAUAAGAUAGGACCUCGGUUCUAUUUUGUUGGUUUCUAGAGCUGAGGUAAUUGAUUAAUAGGGAUAGUUGGGGGCAUUCGUAUUUAACUGUCAGAGGUGAAAUUCUUGGAUUUGUUAAAGACGGAUUACUGCGAAAGCAUUUGCCAAGGAUGUUUUCAUUGA
Molecule: ribosomal RNA, 381 nt
Filed under: uncultured eukaryote
Lineage: Eukaryota
Description: partial 18S ribosomal RNA
Rfam family: Eukaryotic small subunit ribosomal RNA
Source: RNAcentral